CAGCCGUAAACUAUGCGCGUUAGGUGUAUCGGUGACCACGAGUCACCGAGGUGCCGAAGGGAAACCGUGAAACGUGCCGCCUGGGAAGUACGGUCGCAAGGCUGAAACUUAAAGGAAUUGGCGGGGGAGCACCACAACAGGUGGAGCCUGCGGUUUAAUUGGACUCAACGCCGGGAAGCUCACCGGAUAAGACAGCGGAAUGAUUGCCGGGCUGAAGACUCUGCAUGACUAGCUGAGAGGAGGUGCAUGGCGUAGACGUCU
Molecule: ribosomal RNA, 261 nt
Filed under: uncultured archaeon
Lineage: Archaea
Description: partial 16S ribosomal RNA
Rfam family: Archaeal small subunit ribosomal RNA
Source: RNAcentral